UGGGGAAUAUUGCACAAUGGGCGAAAGCCUGAUGCAGCAACGCCGCGUGAGUGAUGAAGGUCUUCGGAUUGUAAAGCUCUGUCUUUUGGGACGAUAAUGACGGUACCAAAGGAGGAAGCCACGGCUAACUACGUGCCGGCAGCCGCGGUAAUACGUAGGUGGCGAGCGUUGUCCGGAUUUACUGGGCGUAAAGGGUGCGUAGGCGGAUGUUUAAGUGAGAUGUGAAAUACCCGGGCUUAACUUGGGUGCUGCAUUUCAAACUGGAUAUCUAGAGUGCAGGAGAGGAGAAUGGAAUUCCUAGUGUAGCGGUGAAAUGCGUAGAGAUUAGGAAGAACACCAGUGGCGAAGGCGAUUCUCUGGACUGUAACUGACGCUGAGGCACGAAAGCGUGGGUAGCAAACAGGAUUAGAUACCCUGGUAGUCCACGCCGUAAACGAUGAGUACUAGGUGUAGGAGGUAUCGACCCCUUCUGUGCCGCAGUAAACACAUUAAGUACUCCGCCUGGGAAGUACGAUCGCAAGAUU
Molecule: ribosomal RNA, 524 nt
Filed under: uncultured bacterium
Lineage: Bacteria
Description: partial 16S ribosomal RNA
Rfam family: Bacterial small subunit ribosomal RNA
Source: RNAcentral